GAUGAACGCUGGCGGCGUGCUUAACACAUGCAAGUCGAACGAAGCACUUUAUUUGAUUUCCUUCGGGACUGAUUAUUUUGUGACUGCGUGGCGGACGGGUGAGUAACGCGUGGGUAAUCUGCCUUGUACAGGGGGAUAACAGUUGGAAACGGCUGCUAAUACCGCAUAAGCGCACGGCAUCGCAUGAUGCAGUGUGAAAAACUCCGGUGGUAUAAGAUGGACCCGCGUUGGAUUAGCUAGUUGGUGAGGUAACGGCCCACCAAGGCGACGAUCCAUAGCCGACCUGAGAGGGUGACCGGCCACAUUGGGACUGAGACACGGCCCAAACUCCUACGGGAGGCGGCAGUGGGGAAUAUUGCACAAUGGGCGAAAGCGUGAUGCAGCGACGACGAGUGAGCGAAGAAGUAUUUCGGUAUGUAAAGCUCAAUCAGCAGGGAAGAUCAUAACGGUACCUGACUAAGAAGCAACGGCUAAAUACGUG
Molecule: ribosomal RNA, 481 nt
Filed under: uncultured bacterium
Lineage: Bacteria
Description: partial 16S ribosomal RNA
Rfam family: Bacterial small subunit ribosomal RNA
Source: RNAcentral